This 72-nucleotide transfer RNA is filed under the name Candidatus Woesearchaeota archaeon. RNAcentral describes it as "tRNA-Gly". It matches the Rfam family "tRNA". From Rfam's summary of the family: Transfer RNA (tRNA) molecules are approximately 80 nucleotides in length. Their secondary structure includes four short double-helical elements and three loops (D, anti-codon, and T loops). Further hydrogen bonds mediate the characteristic L-shaped molecular structure. tRNAs have two regions of fundamental functional importance: the anti-codon, which is responsible for specific mRNA codon recognition, and the 3' end, to which the tRNAs corresponding amino acid is attached (by aminoacyl-tRNA synthetases). tRNAs cope with the degeneracy of the genetic code in two manners: having more than one tRNA (with a specific anti-codon) for a particular amino acid; and 'wobble' base-pairing, i.e. permitting non-standard base-pairing at the 3rd anti-codon position. The record is from RNAcentral. Lineage: Archaea; Nanobdellati; Candidatus Woesearchaeota.
GCACCGAUGAUCUAAUGGCUAUGAUUCGAGCCUUCCAAGCUCGCUAUCCGGGUUCGAAUCCCGGUCGGUGCA